UUGGAGGGCAAGUCUGGUGCCAGCAGCCGCGGUAAUUCCAGCUCCAAUAGCGUAUAUUAAAGUUGUUGUGGUUAAAAAGCUCGUAGUUGAACCUUGGGCCUGGCUGGCCGGUCCGCCUCACCGCGUGUACUGGUCCGGCCGGGGCCUUUCCCUCUGUGGAACCCCAUGCCCUUCACUGGGUGUGGCGGGGAAACAGGACUUUUACUGUGAAAAAAUUGAGUGCUCCAGGCAGGCCUAUGCUCGAAUACAUUAGCAUGGAAUAAUAGAAUAGGA
This 273-nucleotide ribosomal RNA is filed under the name uncultured Ascomycota. Its description in RNAcentral is "partial 18S ribosomal RNA". It matches the Rfam family "Eukaryotic small subunit ribosomal RNA", at positions 548 to 827 of the family's 1831-position model. The record is from RNAcentral. Lineage: Eukaryota; Fungi; Ascomycota.